This 1986-nucleotide ribosomal RNA is filed under the name gut metagenome. RNAcentral's name for it is "bacterial LSU rRNA". It matches the Rfam family "Bacterial large subunit ribosomal RNA", at positions 1 to 2016 of the family's 2925-position model. The record is from RNAcentral.
GAAAGUAAUAAAGGGCGUAUGGGGGAUGCCUAGGCUCUUGGAGGCGAAGAAAGACGUGGUAAGCUGCGAUAAGCCUCGGGGAUUUGCAAACGAGAAUUGAUCCGAGGAUUUCUGAAUGGGACAACCCGGCAGGCAGAAGGCCUGUCACACGAAAGUGGGCCAACCCUCUGAACUGAAACAUCUUAGUAGGAGGAGGAAAAGAAAGAAACAUCGAUUUCCUAAGUAGCGGCGAGCGAACGGGAAACAGCCUAAACCACAAUUGUUACGGCAACUGUGGGGUUGUAGGACUGCAAUAUUCAAAUGACUGUGAACUGGAAUGUUCUGGAAAGUUCAUCCAUAGAGAGUGAAAGACUCGUACAGGCAAGCACGUCAGGCGAUAGCAGUAUCCUGAGUAGGGCGGGACACGAGGAAUCCUGUCUGAAUCCGCCGGGACCACCCGGUAAGGCUAAAUACUCCCAAGAGACCGAUAGUGAACCAGUACCGUGAGGGAAAGGUGAAAAGAACCCCGAACAGGGGAGUGAAAUAGAACCUGAAACCAUACGCUUACAACCUGUCGGAGCGGCUUCGUGCCGUGACGGCGUGCCUAUUGAAUAAUGAGCCUACGAGUUACUAAUCACUGGCAAGGUUAAGUGCACGGAUGCACGGAGCCGAAGCGAAAGCGAGUCUGAAUAGGGCGUUUAGUCAGUGGUUGUAGACGCGAAACCUUGCGAUCUACCCUUGAGCAGGUUGAAGGUUGGGUAAAACCAACUGGAGGACCGAACGAAUAAGCGUUGAAAAGCUUCUCGAUGACUUGAGGGUAGGGGUGAAAGGCUAAUCAAGCUGGGAAAUAGCUCGUACUCCCCGAAAUGCCUUUAGGGGCAGCGUUGUAAUUAAGAGUCUACUGGAGGUAGAGCUACUGAUUGGAUGCGGGGGCUUCACCGCCUACCAAAUCCUGACAAACUCCGAAUGCCAGUAGUAUGAUUUACAGCAGUGAGCGACCGGGUGCUAAUGUCCGGUUACGAGAGUGGAACAACACAGACCAGCAACUAAGGUCCCCAAGAGUAUACUAAGUUGAUCUAACGAUGUUUUGCUGCAGAGACAGCUAGGAUGUUAGCUUGGAAGCAGCUAUUCAUUCAAAGAGUGCGUAACAGCUCACUAGUCGAGCGGCAAAGCGUGGAUAAUAAACGGGCAUCAAGUAUACCACCGAAGUUCUGGGCACGAAAGUGCGGUAGGGGAGCAUUCCAUUCCGCGUUGAAGCCGAACCGUGAGGUUUGGUGGAGUGUAUGGAAAAGCAAAUGUAGGCAUGAGUAACGAUAAUGCGGGAGAGUAACCCGCACACCGCAAGACCAAGGUUUCCUGAUCAACGCUAAUCGGAUCAGGGUUAGUCGGGUCCUAAGGGUAAGCCGAACGGUGAUCUCGAUGGAUAAUCGGUUAAUAUUCCGAUACUGACAUAUACCUCGAUGGAGAGACGAAGGAACGUAAGUGCCGCCACCUGACGGAAUAGGUGGUUAAAGGGCUUAGGUAUAGGGGCAGAUUAAGAGUUAGUCCUUGCUGAAACCUGACAGUACAGAGAGCCUACGGGCAAUUUGAUAGUGCACCCAAGUCGACUUCCGAGAAAAUCUUCUAAGUUAUAGUAUAUGUCACCCGUACCGUAAACCGACACAGGUGGUCGAGGAGAGUAUCCUAAGGUGCUCGAGUGAAUCACGGUUAAGGAACUAGGCAAAUUAACCCCGUAACUUCGGGAAAAGGGGUCCCAUCGCGAGGUGGGCGCAGCGAAGAGGUCCAGGCGACUGUUUAUCAAAAACACAGGGCUCUGCAAAUUCGAAAGAAGACGUAUAGGGCCUGACACCUGCCCGGUGCUGGAAGGUUAAGAGGGGAUGUCAUCGCAAGAGAAGCAUUGAAUCGAAGCCCCAGUAAACGGCGGCCGUAACUAUAACGGUCCUAAGGUAGCGAAAUUCCUUGUCGGGUAAGUUCCGACCUGCACGAAUGGUGUAACGAUCUGGACAC